RNAcentral lists this small RNA (585 nucleotides) under Pan troglodytes (chimpanzee). Its description in RNAcentral is "processed transcript". Lineage: Eukaryota; Metazoa; Chordata; Mammalia; Primates; Hominidae. The record is from RNAcentral.
UCAUCAAGUUGAAUCUCAACUGAAUAAGCUAAAUCAUCUCCUCACUGAUAUUCUUGCUGAUGUGAAGACAAAAAGAAAAACUUUGGCAAAUAAUAAAUUACAUCAAAUGGAAAGAGAAUUCUAUGUAUAUUUUUUAAAAGAUGAAGAUUAUCUGAAAGAUAUUGUGGAGAAUUUAGAAACUCAAUCAAAGAUUAAGGCUGAUUUUGUGAAAAUGGAAAAUUAUGAGGCAUUGGUAGGCUUUGAGCUCUGUAAUACACCGCUCUCCAGUGUUGCUCAGAAGAUUAUGUCUGCUAUGCAUUCAGGUGAUUUAGUGGAUUCUAAGACUUGGGGAAAGAGUACAGAGACUAUGGCAGUGAUAAACAAGUCCAGUGUGAAGUAUUCAGUACAACUUGAAGACAGGAAGAGUCAAUCACCAGAAAAAAAGGAUCUUAAGUCUUUAAGAAGUCAGACAUCAAGAGGUUCCGCCAAGCUCUCUCCUCAGUCCUUCAGUGUCAGGCUCACAGAUCAGCUGUCUACUGACCAAAAACAGAAGAGCAUCAGCUCAUUGACUCUUUCAAGUUGUUUAAUUCCACAGUAUAAUCAACA